CAGCUAGUUGGUAGGGUAAUGGCCUACCGAGGCUAAGACGGGUAGCUGGUCUGAGAGGAUGAACAGCCACACUGGAACUGAGACACGGUCCAGACUCCUACGGGAGGCAGCAGUGGGGAAUCUUGCGCAAUGGGCGAAAGCCUGACGCAGCGACGCCGCGUGAGCGAUGAAGGCCUUCGGGUUGUAAAGCUCUGUGGGGAGGAAAGAAUAAGGUUUGGCUAAUAUCCAAGCUGAUGACGGUACCUCCUUAGCAAGCACCGGCUAACUCUGUGCCAGCAGCCGCGGUAAGACAGAGGGUGCAAACGUUGUUCGGAAUUACUGGGCGUAAAGCGCGUGUAGGCGGCCCUGCCAG
Molecule: ribosomal RNA, 352 nt
Filed under: uncultured delta proteobacterium
Lineage: Bacteria; Deltaproteobacteria
Description: SSU rRNA
Rfam family: Bacterial small subunit ribosomal RNA
Source: RNAcentral